This is a non-coding RNA of Microcebus murinus (gray mouse lemur), 1142 nucleotides long. NCBI's taxonomy places the organism in Eukaryota, Metazoa, Chordata, Mammalia, Primates, Cheirogaleidae. The record is from RefSeq and is a predicted model, not a curated record.
UUAAAAAAUCAAGAGGUUGGACAAGGAGAACAAACAUUUUCCAUCUUAUGAGCUAGUUCUAACUGACUAGUGGUAACCACCUAGGGUACCGUCUGAAGACUAUCAGACCUUAUCCAGAACAUGGGGGGAAGAAAAGGUUUUAGUGUCACAGAGUGAUAGGGCCAUAAGGAAAAUCUAGCCCACUCAAACCCCAAGCCUGUGAGCCCCUGCGAGUUGACAUUGGUCUAAUUCAUCUUGUACCCCCAGUGGCUGACCCAGUGCUUGGCACAUAAUGAAUACAUGAUUACAAUGAGACACAAUGACUACAUUGAACACAUAAUUGAAUGAAUUAACUUCCUGCACGUCUGACCACAGGGCUUACUUCUCUUUAUUUUAAAUUGUUACCAUUGGAUAAAAACAAGGAAAUCCUCUCCAAAUAGAGGAACAUACUGCCAACCCUUCAAAGAGAUCAGAGUGAAUGCUAACAUGAAAGACACCCCACCAGGGCUAGUAGAGGCACAGGACAGGAAGAACAGGGGAGACGCUGUCUCUCCUCCACCUCGGUCUCUGCUAGGGAGAUACUGCGUGUGGUCCAUAGGGACUCCACUAACACUACAGUAAAAGGAUUUCUUAAAAAGACAGAAAGGCACAGACAUUGGGAGGCGAGAGGAGGAGACAACAGCAAUAAAAUGUGGAAGCUGCAAUGCAGAUGGAUGAAUGGCUUGGAAAUCAUCACCACCUCCGUGGUCCCUGCUUCCUACUCCAUGCGUAGCGUUGAAGACAGAGGUUCAAGUUGUGUCUUGGAAAAUGCAUCCAUCUGUUCUGAGAAAGGGCCAUGGGCUUCAAAACAGAUUAUACAUCAAGCCAGGAACACAGUGUGAGCUUGCAAACUUCAGAAAGCCUUUCCCACCUUGGUGCUCCCACUGGAGCUUGCAUUUGAGAAGCGAGGGUCCCUACGGAGAAUCGUACCUACUGGCAUUGGGUGGAGACAAAGACGUUCUCAACAGGCAACCUCUCACACCAAAGUUUUGGAAUUUUCUCUAGCAGACUAGAGAAGCUUUCGCAACCUUGCAAUUUCCGAAGAAGAUAACUAGCCAGGCCUGGAGCACUCGUCGUGUUUCAGGACGUGGUCUGUGUGCUGUUUGGAGCCAUCUCAUCACAUG